CUAAUUGUGGAUUGGUGAGAACUAAAAACUGCACUCACCACCAUUACCUUUAGACAUUUAUGCCACAGUCAGGCCCGGAUUGGCCAUUUCCCCCGGCGAUUAUCCCAGUGGGCCGAUUGGAGUAUGUGUCCGCCUGGCCUCUGUGGCCCUUCCCCCUCCACCUGCUUAUACAUUGUGAGCGCCGCGGCUGCGGGCCUCUAUCAGGAGAACCAGCCCACCCCUCUAUGCUUUACCAAGCCGCUUGUGAGAGCCCCGGCCACUGGCCGCUAUCAGGAGAGCCUUCCCACCCCCCCGCCCUCUUCAUCACCAGGCUGAUCGUGAGCACCGUGGCCAUUGGCCACUAUCAGGAGAGCCAGCCAGCCCGCCCCCCCCCUCUGUGUCACCAGGCUGCUUGUGAAUUGUGAGCAUUGCACUGCGCUGUGGCCACUGGCCGCUAUCUAGAGAGCUGGCCCACCCCAACCCCACCUGCCUGACUGGAAGAAGAGGUCCGCGCACCAAACGCCACCGACAUCAUCGGUGCGGACCUUGUGCUGGAAGAGAAGGUGCGGCCGCUGUGGGUGCUCGUCCUGCAGCAGGAGAGGUGAACAAAUUAAGACUGCGGAGACCCCGAGCACCGGAAGUAGCCACUGUGCACUCCAGAGUGCAUUCCAGCACCCAGGAAACAUGCAGCAGAGUCGGGCAGAGCAAAUGCGGAGGGAGCUGUACCAUCACCACUGCACACCGUAUCACAAGUGUGGGAGAUUGAAGCCAAACAUGGCAGAGAAGACACCAGCAAAGGCCACACCCCCUUGGGGGGGGGCACGUCUACGGGUGAGUUGCGCAUCCUCUCUAGGACCACGUUAAGCACUGGAUGACUUCCUGGUAAACGAAGACCACCCAUCCCUCAACAAGGCAGCAGCCAGCAGCACCCGGGUGGAGCAGCCCAGAGAUGGAGGGGACGCCCGCUUCAGGGAACCUCCUGUGAUCACCCCCUCCCCAAGCCGGACACAGCAGCCAGCGUCAGGAAAACUGGGGUGGAUACAUCUGCAUUACCCAGGAGCGGUGCCUCUGUGUUCCCCCGGUGUCAGUGGACUGUACAGUGACAGUAGUAGUUAUAGAGGCAGCGGCUGUGCCGGGCGGUGGUCACAGUGAGCAGCCACUCUGGUGCGAUUUGUCAUCACUGCUGCUGUGUUGCCGGGGACGGAGCUGCAUCGCGCUGCUGCAGAUCAGCUAGUGGAAAGCGAGUAGUGGAGCGGAGGGAGGAUGUUAAACGUGGAGAGCCUGGACCGGGUGGAUCUGUGUGAGAGUCUGUUGAUGUGGGUAAGUGUGGAAGCAGCAGCAGCAGGGCUGCCUAAUCCCCCACCUCCAGGCCCUGCACACACUGCCGAC
Pseudophryne corroboree (corroboree frog) is the source of this 1368-nucleotide long non-coding RNA. RefSeq lists it as uncharacterized. Lineage: Eukaryota; Metazoa; Chordata; Amphibia; Anura; Myobatrachidae. The transcript has 4 exons. The record is from RefSeq and is a predicted model, not a curated record.